RNAcentral lists this ribosomal RNA (450 nucleotides) under uncultured Glomeromycotina. Its description in RNAcentral is "SSU rRNA". It matches the Rfam family "Eukaryotic small subunit ribosomal RNA", at positions 569 to 1023 of the family's 1831-position model. The record is from RNAcentral. Lineage: Eukaryota; Fungi; Glomeromycota.
AGCAGCCGCGGUAAUUCCAGCUCCAAUAGCGUAUAUUAAAGUUGUUGCAGUUAAAAAGCUCGUAGUUGAAUUUCGGGAUCAAUAUUUCGGUCAUGCCGUUGGUAUGCACUGUUAUCAUUGAUUUCUCACCUUCUAAAGAACCGUAAUGCCAUUAAUUUGGUGUUACGGGGAAUUAGGACUGUUACCUUGAAAAAAUUAGAGUGUUUAAAGCAGGCUCACGCUUGAAUACAUUAGCAUGGAAUAAUGAAAUAGGACAUCCGAUUCUAUUUUGUUGGUUUCUAGGAUCGAUGUAAUGAUUAAUAGGGAUAGUUGGGGGCAUUAGUAUUCAAUUGUCAGAGGUGAAAUUCUUGGAUUUAUUGAGGACUAACUACUGCGAAAGCAUUGGCCAAGGAUGUUUUCAUUAAUCAAGAACGAAAGUUAGGGAUCGAAGACGAUCAGAUACCGUCGUAG